This 5448-nucleotide long non-coding RNA is filed under the name Oryza sativa (Asian cultivated rice). RNAcentral's name for it is "long non-coding RNA (OSAT_LNC001310)". Lineage: Eukaryota; Viridiplantae; Streptophyta; Magnoliopsida; Poales; Poaceae. The record is from RNAcentral.
AAAUUUCACAUCCUAGUUUUUUUUAUUAUUAUUUUGAGAAAGAUACCCCGAUCUGUAGGGAGCAAACUACGUGACAAUUUUUUGUGAACAUCAUUCUACCAUGAAAUCACUAAGUGGAUGAAGAUGAUUGCUUUUCUCGCUUGAGAUUCCUGAUCUUCCGAAGGUGACUUCAGGAGGAAGAGACAACCAUAUUGACUUGGCAAAAUUCAGCUUCAAUCCAAAUAAACAAGAGUUAUUAUUGAAGAUGCCUGUUGGAGGCAUGCCAUGAAGCCCUUCGGCCGGACCUGCCAAAACCAUAGUACCAGCAAGGAUUCAAGCCAAAGCCGUCAAGACCACUUGGGCGAAGCCCUAUGGCGAAAGCCAUAAACGAAGGUGGCGAAGAUUGUAAAGCCGUCAAGACCACUUGGGCGAAGCCCUAUGGCGAAAACCAUAAGCGAAGGUGGUGAAGACUGUAAAGCCGUCAAGAUCACUUGGGCGAAGCCCUAUGGCGAAAGCCAUAAGCGAAGAUGGCGAAGGCUAGAAAGCCGCGUUGGUACCCUGCAAGUAAAGGCUUCUCGGGCGAAGGCAUCUCGGGCGAAGAGCGUAUGGCGAACCACAAAGACUUCGCCAUGACGAGUUAACCAUCAAGGAGGCCCAACAGGCUGCCCCCGACCUUUAAGGCCCCUUCGCCAUAGACCAGGCCUAGCCUAUCGGCCCAUUAAAGGCCCAUAUAUGCAAAUGACACUGUGUAUCCAUUUAAAUACCCCUUUUAUAAGGGCAACCAUGUAAAAUCCCCUGUAAACCUAAAUCCUAGAAGGUGUAAGCCUGUGCUAAGGCUAUAAAUAGACCCCAGGGCCAUGUAAUGGGGGAUCCCUAAAAAUUUUAUCAAUCAAUACAUUUAUUGCUUUUCCAACACUGUUGAGUAACCACGUCCUUCGACGUGACGCAGUUGUCCAUUUGACAACAGCUGGCGCCGUCCGUGGGGAACCCAGACCAAAAGGGUGAAAAGGGAGCCUUUUCGCCACACCAUGCCCUUCGCCACAAUACCAAAAAGGUACGGCGUCAAGGGCUGGGGGCGAAAAGGUUUCGCCACACCCAAGCCCUUCGCCAAAAUACCAAUGAGGUACGGCGUCAAGGGCUAGGGGCGAAAAGGUUUCACCAGACUCAUGCCCUUCGCCAUAGUGCCAAUAAGGUACGACGUCAAGGGCUGGGGGCGAAAAUUAGUUAAAUCCAAGCUGGGGGGCUUCGAAGCCAACCUAGCCUCUGGACACCUUUCUUCACACCCACACCCUUCGCCACAGUACCAAUAAGGUACGGCAUCAAAGGCUGGGGGCGAAAAUUAGUUAAGUCCAAGCUGGGGGGGGGGCCUUCGAAGCCAACCUAGCCUCUGGACACCUUUCGCCACACCCACACCCUUCAUCACAGUACCAAUAAGGUACGGCGUCAAGGGCUGGGGACGAAAAUUAGUUAAGUCCAAGCUGGGGGGCUUCGAAGCCAACCUAGCCUCUGGACACCUUUCGCCACACCCACACCCUUCGCCAUAGUACCAAUAAGGUACGGCGUCAAGGGAUGGGGGUGAAAAUUAGUUAAGUCCAAGCUAGGGGGCUUCGAAGCCAACCUAGCCUCUGGACACCUUUCGCCACACCCACACCCUUCGCCACAGUACCAAUAAGGUACAGCGUCAAAGGCUGGGGGCGAAAAUUAGUUGAGUCCAAGCUAGGGGGGGGGGGGGGCUUCGAAGCCAACCUAGGCUCUGGACACCUUUCGCCCCACCCACGCCCUUCGCCAUAAUACCAAUAAGCUACGGCGUCAAGGGCUGUGGGCGAAGAGACCUUUCGCCACACCCAGGCCCUUCGCCACAAUACCAAUAAGGUAUGGCGUUAAGGGCUGGGGGCGAAAAUGAGUUAAGUCCAGAGGUGAAAAUGGGGGCCGCGAAGCCAACCAAGCCUCUGGACACCUUUCGCCACACCCAAGCCCUUCGCCAAAAUACCAAUAAGGUACGGCGUCAAGGGCUGGGGGCGAAAAGGUUUCGCCACACCCAGGCCAUUCGCCACAAUACCAAUGAGUUACGGCGCCAAGGGCUGGGGGCAAAUAGGUUUCGCCACAGCCAGGCCCUUCGCCACAGUACCAAUAAGGUACGGCGUCAAGGGCUGGGGGCGAAUAACUUUCGCCACACCCACACCCUUCGCCACAGUACCAAUAAGGUACGGCGUCAAGGGCUGGGGGCGAAAAUGAGUUAAGUCCAGAGGUGAAAAUAGGGGCCGCGAAGCCAACCAAGCCUCUGGACACCUUUCGCCACCCCCAAGCCCUUCGCCACAGUACUAAUAAGGUACGGCGUCAAGGGCUGGGGGCGAAUAGGUUUCGCCACAAUAACAAUAAGGUACAUCGUCAAGGGCUGGGGGCGAAAAUGAGUUAAGUCCAGAGGUGAAAACGGGGGCGCAAAGCCAACCAAGCCUCUGGACACCUUUCGCCACCCCCAAGCCCUUCGCCACAAGCCCUUUGCCACAAUACCAAUAAGGUACGGCAUCAAGGGCUGGGGGCGAAAAUGAGUUAAGUCCAGAGGUGAAAAUGGGGGCCGCGAAGCCAACCUAACCUCUGGACACCUUUCGCCACACCCACACCCUUCGCCACAGUACCAAUAAGGUACGGCGUCAAGGGCUGGGUGCGAAAAUGAGUUAAGUCCAGAGGUGAAAAUGGGGGCCGCGAAGCCAACCAAGCCUCUGGACACCUUUCACCACCCCCAAGCCCUUCGCCACAAUACCAAUAAGGUACGGCGUCAAGGGCUGGGGGCGAAUAGGUUUCGCCACACCCAGGCCCUUCGCCACAAUACCAAUGAGGUACGGCGUCAAGGGCUGGGGGCUAAUUCGCCAAGGGUAAUCUUCGCUGGAGGCAAACGAAGAAAGCCGGCAACGGUUAAAAAGGUCGAAGUACCUAAAAGGACCGAAGGCCGGUAACGGUUAAAAAGGUCGAAGUGCAAAAAGACCGAAUGCCGGCAACGGUCAAAACGAUCAAAGUACCUAAAAAUACCUUUACCAAAGGCAAAAAGGGGAAGUACGAGCCGAACAGCCGUAACACGCACCACACCACAUUUAUUUGCCAAAAAAGCACAAGUUACAGAUAAAUUCCAUUGCCCGCCAAAAGACAUUCGGACUUUAGAUCCGAUUCAUCAGCAAAAGCUGUCCUCAAUGGCGAAGGACUACCCCUUGAGCAUCUUCUUCAUUGCUAGUUGUUAGAUCAACAAAAAUUUUUAAGCAGUGAAGAAGGAAAAACGGGGACUAUGCUAUAUCGACGUUGGGCAAUGGCAAACUGGCGCUCGGACAUAUAAAAAUUCAUGGGUGUCUUCGCCUUUUUUGUGUAUGAUAUUUCGUGGAAAAACCCCAAGGCAAACGUUUGAUCAACGAAAACGCCAGGGGGUGCGAUACGAACCGGCCGAAGCACUGCUCGCCGAACGUUGAAACCGUGACAGCUCGUUUUCGGAAAACAUACCGAUCGUCGCUAUACUCGACUUAUGCAAAUACUUAAGCGUUUCUGGACGCGUAUGCCAAAAGUCGAGAGCGAAUGAUGAGGGCUGAAAAAUCGACAAAUCUUUUCGCUAAAUUACGCAAAGGGGCCGACAUGUUUCGACCUAACGAAAGCACGAAAGUGACUAUGCGAACAUUAGCAAAAAGAAAUUUGAAACACACAUAAGCUCCAUCAGGCGAAAGCACAUACUUUAAAAAAAAAGAAGAAAAGAAGCUACAGCUUCGCCAUAAAAAGGCGAAAACGAAUCGGCCAAAGCAUCGCUCGCCGAACGUUGAAACCACGACAGCUAGUUUCGGAAUAAAGAUACCGAACGCCGUUACAUUCGACUUACGCAAAACACAAGCGUUUUUCCUAGCGCAAAAUGCUACGAGUCAAAAACGGAAGUCAAAAGCUGAAAAGUCAACAAAUCUUUUCGUCAAUCCCCAAAUGGGGGCCGAACGCAUGAGUCUCGGCGAAAUCCCCGCUAAAGCAAUAGGGAAAAGGGGAAGGAAAAAAUACAAGUCAAGAAUCAUGCAAAGCAGACAAACUUGGCAAAAUAUAAUCAACCAGUGUCAUAAUACAGCUUCGCCAUUCUCGAAAGGCGAACGCCAGUGUUCAUAUUUUUUCUGCAGGAGUCUAAAAAGAGGUUUCGGCAGGAACAUCGGCCGAAAGGGGACGCCUCAUGCCAUACCGUAUAGUUUGCACGGUCCCGGCCAAAGCUCCUUACUCACCCUUGCCCGUGAGGGGCUUGUUGGAGGCAUGCCAUGAAGCCCUUCGGCCGGACCUGCCGAAACCAUAGUACCAGCAAGGAUUCAAGCCAAAGCCGUCAAGACCACUUGGGCGAAGCCCUAUGGCGAAAGCCAUAAGCGAAGGUGGCGAAGACUGUAAAGCCGUCAAGAUCACUUGGGUGAAGCCCUAUGGCGAAAGCCAUAAGCGAAGAUGGCGAAGGCUGGAAAGCCGCGUCGGUACCCUGCAAGUAAAGGCUUCUCGGGCAAAGGCAUCUCGGGCGAAGGGCAUAUGGCGAACCACAAAGACUUCGCCAUGACGAGUUCGGCAUCAAGGAGGCCCAACAGGCCGCCCCCGACCUUUAAGGCCCCUUCGCCAUAGACCAGGCCUAGCCUAUCGGCCCAUUAAAGGCCCAUAUAUGCAAAUGACACUGCGUACCCAUUUAAAUAUCCCUUUUAUAAGGGCAACCAUGUAAAAUCCCCUAUAAACCUAAAUCCUAGAAGGUGUAAGCCUGUGCUAAGGCUAUAAAUAGACCCCCAGGGCCAUGUAAUGGGGGAUCCCCAAAAAUUUUAUCAAUCAAUACAUUUAUUGCUUUUCCAACACUGUUGAGUAACCACGUCCUUCGACGUGACGCAGUUGUCCAUUCGACAACAAUGCCAAUUAUUUAGUAGGGCGAGUUUUGGAAUCAAACCAAAACAUGGCUGUGGUAUGUAGAAUUUAUGAAGAUCAGGAUGGUGUGUACUUUGGUGGUAUAGUAUGUGUCUAAUAUAUGAUUGGUUGUGUUUUUGUUGUAGGUAGGAUUUAUGAAAAUGAUGUUUGGUUUUUUGAAUCAGAGAUUUUUUUUACUUAUGCAUGCGAUGUUGACAGCGCACGUGUGAAACCAAAUAAAUGGUAGAGAUACUAGUAUGUUUGCAUGACCUUUUGUAUUGAUUAAUACAUCCUGGCAUCCUUUACUUCAACUUAUUGUCUAUAAUACUCCCUAUAUUAUAAAAUAUGCAGUGACAUUAACAUGGUCGGUGGUCUCCUAGUGUACAUGGUUUACCAAUGUUUUCUCUAGUCAUAUAUUUAUAAAAAUAUUAAAAUAAUAACUGUACAUGAAAAUGUUUUCGAGUAAAUCUAUUAAUAUCAUUUUUAUAUAUCGAAUCUUUUUUUUGUAUUAAAUAUUUUUGUGAUAUUUUUUUAGAAACACAGUAUAAAUGUAGGCGCUCACAAUGCGCGCAAACUCAACCCUACGAACAUACA